GGACUAUGCUCACGCUUGCUGUAGACAGAGUGCAGAGACUCGCUCAACACACAGAGUCUCUACACUCUGCCUGCAGGGAGCUUGAUCUGCAGAGUGC
Molecule: microRNA precursor, 97 nt
Filed under: Callithrix jacchus (white-tufted-ear marmoset)
Lineage: Eukaryota; Metazoa; Chordata; Mammalia; Primates; Cebidae
Description: microRNA cja-mir-9972 precursor
Source: miRBase by way of RNAcentral